GACGAACGCUGGCGGCGUGCUUAACACAUGCAAGUCGAACGAAGAGCGAUGGAAGCUUGCUUCUAUCAAUCUUAGUGGCGAACGGGUGAGUAACGCGUAAUCAACCUGCCCUUCAGAGGGGGACAACAGUUGGAAACGACUGCUAAUACCGCAUACGAUCUGACCUCGGCAUCGAGGAUAGAUGAAAGGUGGCCUCUACAUGUAAGCUAUCACUGAAGGAGGGGAUUGCGUCUGAUUAGCUAGUUGGAGGGGUAACGGCCCACCAAGGCGAUGAUCAGUAGCCGGUUUGAGAGGAUGAACGGCCACACUGGGACUGAGACACGGCCCAGACUCCUACGGGAGGCAGCAGUGGGGAAUCUUCCGCAAUGGACGAAAG
Molecule: ribosomal RNA, 376 nt
Filed under: Veillonella parvula
Lineage: Bacteria; Bacillati; Bacillota; Negativicutes; Veillonellales; Veillonellaceae
Description: bacterial SSU rRNA
Rfam family: Bacterial small subunit ribosomal RNA
Source: RNAcentral